Molecule: ribosomal RNA, 902 nt
Filed under: uncultured bacterium
Lineage: Bacteria
Description: bacterial SSU rRNA
Rfam family: Bacterial small subunit ribosomal RNA
Source: RNAcentral
AGGAUGAACGCUAGCUACAGGCUUAACACAUGCAAGUCGAGGGGAAACGACAUCGAAAGCUUGCUUUUGAUGGGCGUCGACCGGCGCACGGGUGAGUAACGCGUAUCCAACCUGCCCACCACUUGGGGAUAACCUUGCGAAAGUAAGACUAAUACCCAAUGACGUCUCUAGAAGACAUCUGAAAGAGAUUAAAGAUUUAUCGGUGAUGGAUGGGGAUGCGUCUGAUUAGCUUGUUGGCGGGGUAACGGCCCACCAAGGCGACGAUCAGUAGGGGUUCUGAGAGGAAGGUCCCCCACAUUGGAACUGAGACACGGUCCAAACUCCUACGGGAGGCAGCAGUGAGGAAUAUUGGUCAAUGGACGAGAGUCUGAACCAGCCAAGUAGCGUGCAGGAUGACGGCCCUAUGGGUUGUAAACUGCUUUUAUAAGGGAAUAAAGUGAGUCUCGUGAGACUUUUUGCAUGUACCUUAUGAAUAAGGACCGGCUAAUUCCGUGCCAGCAGCCGCGGUAAUACGGAAGGUCCGGGCGUUAUCCGGAUUUAUUGGGUUUAAAGGGAGCGUAGGCCGGAGAUUAAGCGUGUUGUGAAAUGUAGACGCUCAACGUCUGCACUGCAGCGCGAACUGGUUUCCUUGAGUACGCACAAAGUGGGCGGAAUUCGUGGUGUAGCGGUGAAAUGCUUAGAUAUCACGAAGAACUCCGAUUGCGAAGGCAGCUCACUGGAGCGCAACUGACGCUGAAGCUCGAAAGUGCGGGUAUCGAACAGGAUUAGAUACCCUGGUAGUCCGCACGGUAAACGAUGGAUGCCCGCUGUUGGUCUGAAUAGGUCAGCGGCCAAGCGAAAGCAUUAAGCAUCCCACCUGGGGAGUACGCCGGCAACGGUGAAACUCAAAGGAAUUGACGGAA